UGGGGAAUAUUGCACAAUGGGGGAAACCCUGAUGCAGCGACGCCGCGUGAACGAAGAAGGUAUUCGUAUCGUAAAGUUCUGUCCUAUGGGAAGAUAAUGACAGUACCAUAGAAGAAAGCUCCGGCUAAAUACGUGCCAGCAGCCGCGGUAAUACGUAUGGAGCGAGCGUUGUCCGGAAUUAUUGGGCGUAAAGGGUACGCAGGCGGUUUAAUAAGUCGAAUGUUAAAGAUCGGGGCUCAACCCCGCAAAGCAUUGGAAACUGAUAAACUUGAGUAGUGGUGAGGAAAGUGGAAUUCCUAGUGUAGUGGGGAAGUACGUAGAUAUUAGGAGGAAUACCAGUAGCGAAGGCGACUUUCUGGACACAAACUGACGCUGAGGUACGAAAGCGUGGGGAGCAAACAGG
RNAcentral lists this ribosomal RNA (403 nucleotides) under bacterium. RNAcentral's name for it is "partial 16S ribosomal RNA". It matches the Rfam family "Bacterial small subunit ribosomal RNA", at positions 355 to 776 of the family's 1533-position model. The record is from RNAcentral.